CCCCCCCUCACUUAAUUUUUGAUAAUCGCUCUUAUUACUCUCUAACAUGGCAUGCGCGGUUGUCCCGCUCCCGGCGAAAAAAUCUAAGAUGAUGUCGCCUUUUUCAGUAGUUUGAUCUAUGAGAAAACUUAUCAAUUCAACAGGUUUAGAAUAAUCAAAAAUAUUCUUAACAUUAAAAAUUGAUUGCAAUUUUUUAUUUGACAUAUCAUUAGAGUAUUUAUUAUCUAAAAAUUCUAUACUUGAAAUAUUUUUAGUGCGGUUAAAAUAUUCUAUUUUAUAAGGCUUGCUAUCAGAUAUUUUAGCCUUUGUGUAAGUUUUUGUAUAAAUUCUAUUGUUUUUAACUUCUACAAAACCAUUAGCUAAUCCAAAAUCAAAUUUUGCCUUGCUCCAACGCCAAACCCAAUCAAUCGUUCCAAAAUUACCUUUUUGUCUUUCAGUAUAAGUUUCCAAUCCGCCAGCAUAAAACUUUUCAUUACCAAUUACAACUUCAUAAUCCAUUUUUUUAUUAUAUUGAAGUGAAUUGUAAUCCAAAUUUUGAUUUAAUCUAUACCCACCUCUUUCAUUGUAAAAUUCAUCUUUUAAAGGGUAAUCGUUUUCAUCAAUAUCAAUCUGUUUAAAAUUGAUACUAUUCUUUUGAUAGCACAAAACAUAAUCAUGAUUUUUAGCGAUUUGAUUAGUGGAUUUUCCUGCUUUCUUUGUUAAUCUUGGCAUUUCAGCCACAAAAUUCCUCUCCCCAAAAAUUUCAUCGCAUAAAA
This 755-nucleotide ribosomal RNA is filed under the name Helicobacter pylori Hp A-16. Its description in RNAcentral is "partial 16S ribosomal RNA". The record is from RNAcentral. Lineage: Bacteria; Pseudomonadati; Campylobacterota; Epsilonproteobacteria; Campylobacterales; Helicobacteraceae.